This 498-nucleotide ribosomal RNA is filed under the name uncultured bacterium. Its description in RNAcentral is "partial 16S ribosomal RNA". It matches the Rfam family "Bacterial small subunit ribosomal RNA", at positions 30 to 523 of the family's 1533-position model. The record is from RNAcentral.
AUUGAACGCUGGCGGCAUGCCUUACACAUGCAAGUCGAACGGUAACAGGUCUUCGGAUGCUGACGAGUGGCGAACGGGUGAGUAAUACAUCGGAACGUGCCUAGUAGUGGGGGAUAACUACUCGAAAGAGUGGCUAAUACCGCAUGAGAUCUACGGAUGAAAGCAGGGGAUCGCAAGACCUUGUGCUACUAGAGCGGCCGAUGGCAGAUUAGGUAGUUGGUGGGAUAAAAGCUUACCAAGCCGACGAUCUGUAGCUGGUCUGAGAGGACGAUCGGCCACACUGGGGCUGAGAAACGGCCCAGACUCCUACGGGAGGCAGCAGUGGGGAAUUUUGGACAAUGGGCGCAAGCCUGAUCCAGCAAUGCCGCGUGCAGGAUGAAGGCCUUCGGGUUGUAAACUGCUUUUGUACGGAACGAAAAGGCUUCCACUAAUACUGGGGGCUCAUGACGGUACCGUAAGAAUAAGUACCGGCUAACUACGUGCCAGCAGCCGCCGUAA